GCUGGGCUUGGUAACGCAAGCUUGUCACCUAAGUGGGGGCUUCAGGGUCAUGGAACAUGGGCUUGGGUUCAUUUGAUCGGGCUUGUUGAGAUUGAAAUCUGGCCCGCCCGUUCCAAGCUGAGAGCUGGGUCACGUGGGCCGGGCGAAGGCCCGGGCUUCAUUGACCUCUACAGUGGAGGGGAUUGCGUGAGGCUGGCUUCACAGAGCAACGAAAACCUCCCGCUCCCAGCAGUGGAAGGAUAACGGGCCGUUGCUUUACAGGUCCGUCAUGGCCCAAUGAGCCAAUCCCACAUGAACUAUCACCUUU
This is a non-coding RNA of Punica granatum (pomegranate), 307 nucleotides long. The record is from Rfam. NCBI's taxonomy places the organism in Eukaryota, Viridiplantae, Streptophyta, Magnoliopsida, Myrtales, Lythraceae.